CAUGUCCUUUAGAUUUUAAUUUAAGGUCUGAUCUGCUCAAUGAUAAUUAAAUAGCCGCGGUAUUUUGACCGUGCGAAGGUAGCAUAAUAAUUAGUUUUUUUAUUGGAAGCUUGUAUGAAUGAUUGGACGGAGGAUUACCUGUCCCCUUGGAACAUAUUUAUGAAUUUAACUUUUAAGUUAAAAGGCUUAAAUGUUUUUUAAAGACGAGAAGACCCUAUAGAGUUUUACAUUUUCGAUUUUGGAGGUUUUUUGGUAUAAGUUUUCCUUUUCUUUCUUUUUGUUUGGUUGGGGUGAUUGGAAGAUUUAUUUAACUCUUCUGUGUUUUUGUUACUGAUUAGUAAUUUCUUUUUCUAUAAUUUUUAAGUAUAAAUUAAAUUACCUUAGGGAUAACAGCGUUAUUUCUCUUUAGAGUCCUUAUUGGUAGAGAAGUUUGCGACCUCGAUGUUGGAUUAAAAUUUAUGUUAGGCGCAGUAGCCUAUUCUCUUGAGUCUGUUCGACUUUUAAAAUUUUACAUGAUCUGAGU
This 523-nucleotide ribosomal RNA is filed under the name Illubaboria bicolor. RNAcentral describes it as "partial large subunit ribosomal RNA". It matches the Rfam family "Archaeal large subunit ribosomal RNA", at positions 1951 to 2679 of the family's 2987-position model. Lineage: Eukaryota; Metazoa; Arthropoda; Insecta; Coleoptera; Elateridae. The record is from RNAcentral.